This is a long non-coding RNA of Cygnus olor (mute swan), 353 nucleotides long. RefSeq lists it as uncharacterized. The transcript has 3 exons. NCBI's taxonomy places the organism in Eukaryota, Metazoa, Chordata, Aves, Anseriformes, Anatidae. The record is from RefSeq and is a predicted model, not a curated record.
AUUUGAAAGUUUAUAAGAAGUUAGGUGCUCCUUGGCUUACAAAUAUACAAAUAAAUGGAAGUAUUUAUCCAGCUGCUGCUAUGACAAGUUUGGAGAAAAGUAAUCAAUACCUGCUUCAGAUACUAAAAUGAUAAUGAACUUGGCUGUAGAUCUGUAUAAAGAAUAAAAUUAAGCUGACAAAUACCUUUUCUAGAUUGAUAACCGGUCAUAUACUCAAACUCAUCUUUUGUAGCCAAAUCAAUCAGAUGUCUCAAAAAAAAAUCACCAUAAGCCCUAACCCAUCAUUUAGAUUGACACACAGAUGACCCUUAUCCCCCCGUUAAAUAUAACAAUUGUGACCGAAAGGCAGAGAG